RNAcentral lists this ribosomal RNA (441 nucleotides) under uncultured bacterium. Its description in RNAcentral is "bacterial SSU rRNA". It matches the Rfam family "Bacterial small subunit ribosomal RNA", at positions 958 to 1397 of the family's 1533-position model. The record is from RNAcentral.
AACGCGAAGAACCUUACCUGGGCUCGAACGGCUUCAGACCGUCGUGGAAACACGAUCUUCCCCUUAAAAGGACUGGAGUCGAGGUGCUGCAUGGCUGUCGUCAGCUCGUGUCGUGAGAUGUUGGGUUAAGUCCCGCAACGAGCGCAACCCUUGUCCUGUGUUGGCAUGCCGCAAGGCGCAACUCUCAGGAGACCGCCAGCGAUAAGUUGGAGGAAGGUGGGGAUGACGUCAAGUCAUCAUGGCCUUUAUGUCCAGGGCCACACACGUGCUACAAUGGGCGGUACAAAGCGCUGCCAACCCGCGAGGGGGAGCUAAUCGCCAAAAACCGUCCUCAGUUCGGAUUGCAGGCUGCAACUCGCCUGCAUGAAGCUGGAAUCGCUAGUAAUGCUAUAUCAGAACGAUAGCGUGAAUACGUUCCCGGGCCUUGUACACACCGGCUAC